GACGAACCGUGCGAACGUUGUUCGGAUUCACUGGGCUUAAAGGGCGCGUAGGCGGCUACUCAAGUCGGGGGUGAAAUCCUCUCGCUUAACGAGAGAAUUGCUUUCGAUACUGGGUCGCUGGAGGGAGAUAGGGGUGCGCGGAACUUCCGGUGGAGCGGUGAAAUGCGUAGAUAUCGGAAGGAACGCCGGUGGCGAAAGCGGCGCACUGGAUCUCUUCUGACGCUGAGGCGCGAAAGCCAGGGGAGCAAACGGG
This 253-nucleotide ribosomal RNA is filed under the name uncultured bacterium. RNAcentral describes it as "partial 16S ribosomal RNA". It matches the Rfam family "Bacterial small subunit ribosomal RNA", at positions 524 to 776 of the family's 1533-position model. The record is from RNAcentral.